This 904-nucleotide long non-coding RNA is filed under the name Pan troglodytes (chimpanzee). Its description in RNAcentral is "long non-coding RNA NONPTRT018405". The record is from RNAcentral. Lineage: Eukaryota; Metazoa; Chordata; Mammalia; Primates; Hominidae.
AAGACACAGUGAGAAGAUGACCCUCUCUCCAAGCCAGGAAGAGACCUCCCGAGGAGCCCAGCCAGCCAGCACCCUGACCUCCAACGUCCAGCCUCUGGAAAUGUGAGAGGCCAACGUCUGCGUUGGGAGCCACGUGGUCCCGUGGGAUCUGGCCUAACGCUAAAGCCGUGGCUGCGCUCCUGCCCCGCACCAGGAUGUGGCAACUUUGAGAACCGCUGGAGAGUCGAGAGAUGUCAUCGAAACGACACCCGAUACGUGUUCCCUGAGCAUCCGUUUUGUAGUGAAGACACUCGUACUGUUGACGCCUGCUGCGGUAAGCGGUAAGGUUGGGGGACGACCCCACGCCGAUGGCACCCGCACCAGGGACAGCCCGGCCUCUGCCCAAGGGCACACCUACUUGGCAACGUUCAAGUACAGGUCGUACUGGACGUCUGCGGGGGCCGCCGGGCCUACCGCCCAGCUGCAGCUCAAGAAAUCCACGUCGUGAAUCCAGCAGGUCAGAUUCUCUGCACCUGCCCGAGUCUUCCCACCUGGGUUCACAAACAUGAAAGAGAACUCGAAUUGGGGCCGGGCACGGUGGCUCACGCCUGUCACCCCAGCAUUUUGGGAGGCCGAGGCGGGUGGAUCACAUGAGGUCAGGAGUUCGAGACCAGCCUGGCCAACAUGGAGAAACCCCGUCUCUACUAAAAAUACAAAAAUUAGCCGUGUGUGGUGGCUCACGCCUGUGAUCCCAGCACUUUGGGAGGCCAAGGCAGGUGGAUCGCCUGAGGUCCGGAGUUUGAGACCAGCCUGGCCAACAUGGUGAAACCCCAUCGCUACUAAAAAUAGAAAAAAUUAACCAGGUGUGAUGUCGGGCCGCUCUAAUCCCAGCUACUCGGGAGGCUGAGGCAGAAGAAUUUCUUGA